Molecule: ribosomal RNA, 453 nt
Filed under: uncultured bacterium
Lineage: Bacteria
Description: bacterial SSU rRNA
Rfam family: Bacterial small subunit ribosomal RNA
Source: RNAcentral
UACGGAAGGCAGCAGUGGGGAAUAUUGCACAAUGGGCGCAAGCCUGAUGCAGCCAUGCCGCGUGUAUGAAGAAGGCCUUCGGGUUGUAAAGUACUUUCAGUCGUGAGGAAGGUGUUAAGGUUAAUAACCUUAGCAAUUGACGUUAGCGACAGAAGAAGCACCGGCUAACUCCGUGCCAGCAGCCGCGGUAAUACGGAGGGUGCGAGCGUUAAUCGGAAUUACUGGGCGUAAAGGGCACGCAGGCGGUUAAUUAAGUUGGAUGUGAAAUCCCCGGGCUUAACCUGGGAAUGGCAUUCAAGACUGGUUAGCUAGAGUCUUGUAGAGGGGGUAAAAUUCCAUGUGUAGCGGUGAAAUGCGUAGAGAUGUGGAGGAAUACCGGUGGCGAAGGCGGCCCCUGGACAAAGACUGACGCUCAUGUGCGAAAGCGUGGGGAGCAAACAGGGAUUAGAUACC